CUCACUUCACCAGGUGAUCGUCUCAAGCACAAAACCGAAGCAACGACCACGAAGCCAACUGACUUCCCCACCCCCUACUCCCCUCUAGAUCUCCCUUCCCUCCACUUCCCAGAUCCACCCCCACCUCGUCGCCGGCCGCCGGCGCAAUGGCCGCGCCACCCCCCACCACUCCGCGCCUCCUCCUCUCGCCGACCUCCAAGGACUUACUCACCGCCGCCGCCUUCCCCUCGCCACCCUCCCCAACCUCCGACNNN
RNAcentral lists this long non-coding RNA (254 nucleotides) under Setaria italica (foxtail millet). Its description in RNAcentral is "long non-coding RNA (SITA_LNC002189)". The record is from RNAcentral. Lineage: Eukaryota; Viridiplantae; Streptophyta; Magnoliopsida; Poales; Poaceae.